This 24-nucleotide non-coding RNA is filed under the name Arabidopsis thaliana (thale cress). The record is from RNAcentral. Lineage: Eukaryota; Viridiplantae; Streptophyta; Magnoliopsida; Brassicales; Brassicaceae.
GAGGUGAUGUUGAAUGGCUCUAUG